GCCAGGCGUGGUGGCGCACACCUGUAGUCCCAGCUACCUGGGAGGCUGAGGCAGGAGAAUCACUUGAACCUGGGAGGCAGAGAUUGCAGUGAGCUGAGAUUGUACCACUGCACUCCAGCCUGGGUGACAGAGUGAGACUCUGUCUCCA
Papio anubis (olive baboon) is the source of this 148-nucleotide unclassified non-coding RNA. It matches the Rfam family "Metazoan signal recognition particle RNA". From Rfam's summary of the family: The signal recognition particle (SRP) is a universally conserved ribonucleoprotein. It is involved in the co-translational targeting of proteins to membranes. The eukaryotic SRP consists of a 300-nucleotide 7S RNA and six proteins: SRPs 72, 68, 54, 19, 14, and 9. The record is from Ensembl. Lineage: Eukaryota; Metazoa; Chordata; Mammalia; Primates; Cercopithecidae.